RNAcentral lists this ribosomal RNA (460 nucleotides) under uncultured bacterium. Its description in RNAcentral is "partial 16S ribosomal RNA". It matches the Rfam family "Bacterial small subunit ribosomal RNA", at positions 338 to 795 of the family's 1533-position model. The record is from RNAcentral.
CCUACGGGUGGCAGCAGUGAGGAAUAUUGGUCAAUGGUCGGGAGCCUGAACCAGCCAAGCCGCGUGAGGGAUGAAGGUACAGCGUAUUGUAAACCUCUUUUGUCAGGGAAUAAAGGCGGGGACGUGUCCCCGGAUGAGUGUACCUGAAGAAAAAGCAUCGGCUAACUCCGUGCCAGCAGCCGCGGUAAUACGGAGGAUGCGAGCGUUAUCCGGAUUUAUUGGGUUUAAAGGGUGCGCAGAUGGGUUGUUAAGUCAGCGGGGAAAUCCCGGGGCUCAACCCCGAACCCGCGUUUGAAACUGGCAGUCUCGAGUUGGAGAGAGGUAUGCGGAAUGCGCGGUGUAGCGGUGAAAUGCAUAGAUAUCGCGCAGAACUCCGAUUGCGAAGGCAGCAUGCCGGCUCCACACUGACGCUGAGGCACGAAAGCGUGGGUAUCGAACAGGAUUAGAUACCCUUGUAGUC